CAGAGUGUAGCUAAAAUAGCAAAGCAUCUCUCUUACACUGAGAAGACACCCAUGCAAAUUGGGUCACCCUGA
This 72-nucleotide transfer RNA is filed under the name Zenarchopterus dispar (feathered river-garfish). RNAcentral describes it as "tRNA-Val". It matches the Rfam family "tRNA". Rfam says of the family: Transfer RNA (tRNA) molecules are approximately 80 nucleotides in length. Their secondary structure includes four short double-helical elements and three loops (D, anti-codon, and T loops). Further hydrogen bonds mediate the characteristic L-shaped molecular structure. tRNAs have two regions of fundamental functional importance: the anti-codon, which is responsible for specific mRNA codon recognition, and the 3' end, to which the tRNAs corresponding amino acid is attached (by aminoacyl-tRNA synthetases). tRNAs cope with the degeneracy of the genetic code in two manners: having more than one tRNA (with a specific anti-codon) for a particular amino acid; and 'wobble' base-pairing, i.e. permitting non-standard base-pairing at the 3rd anti-codon position. Lineage: Eukaryota; Metazoa; Chordata; Actinopteri; Beloniformes; Zenarchopteridae. The record is from RNAcentral.